CCUACGGGUGGCUGCAGUGGGGAAUAUUGGGCAAUGGACGCAACCCUGACCCAGCAACGCCGCGUGAAUGAAGAAGGCUCUCGGGUUGUAAACUUCUUUUAUCAGGGACGAAGCAAGUGACGGUACCUGAUGAAUAAGCCACGGCUAACUACGUGCCAGCAGCCGCGGUAAUACGUAGGUGGCAAGCGUUAUCCGGAUUGACUGGGUGUAAAGGGCGUGUAGGCGGGAAAGUAAGUCAGAUGUGAAAACCAUGGGCUCAACCCGUGGACUGCAUUCGAGACUGUGGGUCUUGAGUACUGGAGAGGCAGACGGAAUUCCUAGUGUAGCGGUGAAAUGCGUAGAUAUUAGGAGGAACACCAGUGGCGAAGGCGGUCUGCUGGACAGCAACUGACGCUGAGGCGCGAAAGCGUGGGGAGCAAACAGGAUUAGAUACCCUUGUAGUC
Molecule: ribosomal RNA, 443 nt
Filed under: uncultured bacterium
Lineage: Bacteria
Description: partial 16S ribosomal RNA
Rfam family: Bacterial small subunit ribosomal RNA
Source: RNAcentral